CGAGUUCCCGUUGAUUGACGUGCUUGCACUGAUUUCAACAUUGGAACGAGUGGCGAACUGGUGAGUAACACGUGGAAAACCUGCCCAGAAGCAGGGGAUAACACUUGGAAACAGGUGCUAAUACCGUAUAACAACAAAAACCGCAUGGUUUUUGUUUGAAAGGUGGCUUCGGCUAUCACUUCUGGAUGGUUCCGCGGCGCAUUAGCUUGUUGGUGGGGUAACGGCUCACCAAGGCGAUGAUGCGUAGCCGACCUGAGAGGGUAAUCGGCCACAUUGGGACUGAGACACGGCCCAGACUCCUACGGGAGGCAGCAGUAGGGAAUCUUCCACAAUGGACGCAAGUCUGAUGGAGCAAUGCCGCGUGAGUGAAGAAGGGUUUCGGCUCGUAAAACUCUGUUGUUGAAGAAGAACGGGUGUCAGAGUAACUGUUGACAUCGUGACGGUAUUCAACCAGAAAGCCACGGCUAACUACGUGCCAGCAGCCGCGGUAAUACGUAGGUGGCAAGCGUUGUCCGGAUUUAUUGGGCGUAAAGCGAGCGCAGGCGGUUUCUUAAGUCUGAUGUGAAAGCCUUCGGCUUAACCGAAGAAGUGCAUCGGAAACUGGGGAACUUGAGUGCAGAAGAGGACAGUGGAACUCCAUGUGUAGCGGUGGAAUGCGUAGAUAUAUGGAAGAACACCAGUGGCGAAAGCGGCUGUCUAGUCUGCAACUGACGCUGAGGCUCGUACAGCAUGGGUAGCGAACAGGAUUAGAUACCCUGGCUAGUCCAUGCCGUAACGAUGAGUGCUAUGUGUUGGAGGGUUUCCGCCCUUCAGUGCUGCAGCUACUGCAGUAGCACUACGCCUGGCGGAGUACGAC
RNAcentral lists this ribosomal RNA (856 nucleotides) under Levilactobacillus namurensis. RNAcentral describes it as "bacterial SSU rRNA". It matches the Rfam family "Bacterial small subunit ribosomal RNA", at positions 63 to 886 of the family's 1533-position model. Lineage: Bacteria; Bacillati; Bacillota; Bacilli; Lactobacillales; Lactobacillaceae. The record is from RNAcentral.